AAGCUUCGAUUUAAAAAUUUCAAUCCACUAAAUUGUAUUCAACCUGAAUACACUCGUCGGAACCUCCGACUCUAGCUAUUUUAAGCUAGAACACUUAUUUUUCGGGUACAAGCCAACCCAAUACAAUCCGAUUCAAGGUUCCGAUCAAUCUUCUCACAUUUUGGAAUCCUUCCAAAAUAAAAAAAUAAUGACUCAAAAAGAGUAUUAUAGUUAACAGCAC
Molecule: long non-coding RNA, 220 nt
Filed under: Elaeis guineensis (African oil palm)
Lineage: Eukaryota; Viridiplantae; Streptophyta; Magnoliopsida; Arecales; Arecaceae
Description: long non-coding RNA (EGUI_LNC052806)
Source: RNAcentral